This 253-nucleotide ribosomal RNA is filed under the name uncultured bacterium. RNAcentral describes it as "partial 16S ribosomal RNA". It matches the Rfam family "Bacterial small subunit ribosomal RNA", at positions 524 to 776 of the family's 1533-position model. The record is from RNAcentral.
UACGUAGGUGGCAAGCGUUGUCCGGAAUUAUUGGGCGUAAAGCGCGCGCAGGCGGUCCUUUAAGUCUGAUGUGAAAGCCCACGGCUCAACCGUGGAGGGUCAUUGGAAACUGGGGGACUUGAGUGCAGAAGAGGAAAGCGGAAUUCCACGUGUAGCGGUGAAAUGCGUAGAGAUAUGGAGGAACACCAGUGGCGAAGGCGGCUUCCUGGUCUGUAACUGACACUGAGGCGCGAAAGCGUGGGGAGCAAACAGG